Molecule: ribosomal RNA, 215 nt
Filed under: Vibrio splendidus
Lineage: Bacteria; Pseudomonadati; Pseudomonadota; Gammaproteobacteria; Vibrionales; Vibrionaceae
Also listed under: 2 other names
Description: partial 16S ribosomal RNA
Rfam family: Bacterial small subunit ribosomal RNA
Source: RNAcentral
AAAUUGAAGAGUUUGAUCAUGGCUCAGAUUGAACGCUGGCGGCAGGCCUAACACAUGCAAGUCGAGCGGAAACGACAACAUUGAAUCUUCGGAGGAUUUGUUGGGCGUCGAGCGGCGGACGGGUGAGUAAUGCCUAGGAAAUUGCCUUGAUGUGGGGGAUAACCAUUGGAAACGAUGGCUAAUACCGCAUAAUGCCUACGGGCCAAAGAGGGGGA